UGCCUCAAGAAGCUUCUUAAUCUAGACCUGGAAGUUUAGGAAGUGAAAACAGUAUUUUACAGGCUGUAAUGAUAGGUGGAAGGCAGUAUUUGAGGAGCUUCUGGAAAUGGGGAGUGAUUCCUCAGAGACUAGGCAGGAAGGAGGGCAUUAAAAGGAGCAAUUUGUGGGUCAGGAUUGGAGUUGAUAGCUUCCGCGUGACUCUUAGCUCAUGAGUUUUCUUGUGACCCAUCCCACUACCCAAGUUUCCUCUAGUCUGAUGUAUGUGCUCCUCCCCUUUGCUUAUCUGUCAUACCUGUAUGUUCUCUGUGACAACACUCAGCCUACUGUCCUCUGGAUGAAAGUCCUGGCAGAGCAAAAAUAACCUCUUGGAGUAGUGAUGUCUCUCUUCCAGAGCACUCCACGACACCACUUCUCAGCUACCACUGCUCAGUGGCUAAAGUGAUUGAUUUUGAGGAAUUGGGAAAAAAGAGCGUUUUAUCUGCAUCCCAGUGACCAGAAAAUGUGUUAACUUACUGAAGCAGUGAAACCAUACCUGGUACAGUAGCUACAACUGGAGUCGCUGCCUGGUUAAGCUUAUGAUAAUCCGCCAUCAUUCUCCAAUAGCCUUCUGUCUUCUGCACAGGUCACGUAGUUGCCACGCCCACCUUGCGCCUGGAGGCUGAAUGCUGCCACUUGGCCCUGCCAGCCCGGGUUCCAAUUACUUCCAUUGCAUCUAGGUUUCCCAAGUCAGUGACUUAGUCCCCACUAAGGUCUGGCCUACAGAAAAGAAUAGGCUAAGAACACCUCUACACCUCAUCAUGAGUCACCUAGGUAAUUAUUACCUGUUGAUUUUAUAAUAAAAUGCUACUUAUCAAAUCUAUCAUGUCACUCUUUACAAUAUUAAGAAAAAACAAUUUAUAUGGGCCAAAUUACACCUGGAGACUGAGGAGAAAAAAAAAUUGUUAUGAUUUGUUUUUAAAUUUAACGACACUCUGUGUCAAGAAAUCCUGCAAGGAACCUUCAGAUAGUACAAGGAGCUUUACUUCUCACGUACAGAAGGCCGUCCUGCCGUAACUCCGGUUAUCAGUAUCCACUUGGAAAUGAGGGACAAGGGGAGCCUUUCAAGCGCAGUCAUCUAUUGUUUCCUGGAGCUGAGCAUAUGUGAUGAGAACAGCCUUCGUCAGAACCAUGCAGCAGCCGAAUAGUUUUUGUGUCGCAGGAGUGGGACGCUUGGAUUUUAGUCACCUUCUUUACUUGUAUAAGCCACAGAAACAAAAGCUAAACCUGGUGCGUAGCCAUGGUUCAGUUCACCCAUGAUAGGCCCUGAGAAGUUAGCCUUGGUUUCAGAUACGUGUAAGUAAGCCAUGGUGAUUUGAAGUUGGGGAGAAUGAGAUGUGGUUGAUGACAUUUCCUGAGGAUCUGUUGAGUAAGCGGUCGACUCAUGUUUCUAAGGAGCAUUCGGUUACUUCAGGUCAAAGAGAUUUGCAUGAGAAAUUUGUGCACCUGGAAAUAUAAAUUGCACGCUUAAUAAUUGCAUGUGCAGUAAGGGAAGUUUUAUUAAGGCCUCGAGGAAGAUUGGACUCACUGGCCAUACGUGCUAACAGCAGUGAGGAGAAAACACAGGUCUAGUUGAAAGGGAUUACAAUCUGGGUUUAGAGCAGGUGGGCGCUAGGAUUCAGAACAUUCUGACGAUGAGACCAGCAGGUAGAGCUGGGAAGGGCGUCUGGGCUAAAUGAGCAGCAGCAGAAAUCCAGUGCUUUUCCUUUUUAUGUGAAACACUCAAGUUUUGUGGGGAAGAUUAAGCCUGAGAAAUCUAAGAACAGUUUGACUAGUUACACUCUGGAAAUCUGGCAAGAGGAAAGGUGAGUGAUUAAGGUGGUUUCGGUCUAGCCCAUAGUGCUCAGCACUCUUUGGCACUGCUUGGUUUGGCAAAAUUGUUAACACCCUUCUGGAGAGAAGCUUGGGGCUGAGAGAUUAAGGGCAUUACAGGUCAAAGGUUGACUGUGUUAAUGUAUUUAUUUAGGAAACCAUACAAAAGCCCUUAUUAACCUUGGCUUUUGGAGACCGGGGUUGUCAAUCCUUCACUUUCGUGAUCCCAUUUUCACCUAAAAAUGUUUUUGAGCAGCCCAGUAUCAAAACAGAAUAUGUACCUCAGGUAGAAACAUGUUGAACUGCGUGGUACCUGGAAUAAAUACUACGUACACUGGCGGCUUCGUUGGUUAGCUACCUAUCACGUGAGCCGUUCUUUCGUUCCUAUAAAUUUAGUUACUAUUUCAGGAGAGAAGGUAAGUUAUUUUUCAAAAAUAGGGUGGAAGGAGUGUUCUCUAUUAUUAAAAAAAAAAAAAAUUCCUCUUUCAAAAUGAAGCUUUCAGAUUCCGAAUCGUUUAGGGGAGCACUGUCUACCUGAAAAAAGAAAUACGAGGUGUCUUUUAGUCUCAGGGGGGUUUAGCAACAAACCAUUAUUGUUUGCAGGCUGAUUGUUCUGAGAAGGCGAGCUGCCUUAAUGACAGCUUAGGCAGUAACAAUCCAUGAUAUAGUACUUACUUGGAUGUAGCAACAACUGUGCUCUAAGCCAAGAAGAAGGAGGAAAAAAGUCAGUAUCUUGUGCGUGAGAAGCUUGUAGAUACCCUGAGGUGACUUCAUAUAAUUCUAAAAUAGCAGGUAGCUUCUUGCAUAGCUAAUCAAGGCAUCAGCGCCUGGAGCAAGUGGAGGUGGCUGACAGUGUACUUUGGUUUCAGAUGCAUUCAGCUCUUUUUGAGUGAUAUGAGCUUAAUUCAUAUUCUGGUUUCUAUACUAAAAGUUUAUGUGUUCUGAUUUGGCAAAUAUCCUCCUUCACAACCUGACAGAGCGUGCUUUGAUAAAGCUGCCCAUCUUAACGUCUUACUUGCAUUUGUUCAUUUGUUCAUUAUAUGCGGUGAGAAAGUUCGUACAGCUGAAUAAAGGGAAGAGGGUUUUUUUUUGUUGUUGUUGUUUUUUGGGUUUUUUUUUUUUAAGCAUUGAGUUAUACCCCACCCUCCACUUCCAUUCAUUGCUCAGCAAAGGACAAAGGCGGCUCACCUGAAAAACUUGAAAUACACCCUGUAGGUAAGUGGAAAGAGCUCACAGAGAAAGGAGUCAUCCUGACUUUGUAAAGUAGGUAGGUCAUUUCUGGAGAGAGCAGCACCUUCAUGAAAGUGAAGGUCACAGAGUGACAUGCUUAGGUAGUUUUAAUUGCCAGCGUCUUGAGGUCUUCCAAAGAAAGUGUAACAUCAGUGGAUGGCUUUGGUUUGUCAUUAUGUCCAUCCAAGCUCUGGGCUGUGGUUUUGGUUCUAUAAAUCCCUCUGGUUUAAGAUGUAAAGGAAACGACUUCUCGUAGGGACCAUUGGCCACUUGCUAGGCAAUCACUGUUGUGAGGCAGAUCUGCCUUAUAAAACAGAGGGCUCAGGCUCAGUGCUCAGGAAGCUACAAGUGGAAACUCCACAUUCAAAGAGCCCAUAAUUUUACUCUAAUAGAUAUUUAGCAGCUUAAAUGAAAUAACAAGGAAUACAUUCACUCAGGCGCCAUCCAGGAGGAUUUGCUGGGUAUUUUACAUUCCACUCUUUGAAAGGAAAAACAUAAUUUUUUAUACUUUCCCAUGAUAUAUGAAUAUUUUGGUAUGCAAAGAGAUAAUACAUAGCAUACCUUUAAGGCUAAAUCAAGUUCUGUUUGGCCAAAGGGAUUUACUGCUAUCAGUAUAAUGCAGGCCAGUCAAUCAAGUUGAAUUUUUCCUCCAAAUCAGUGCAUUAGCGUUCAACCAGGCAGCCUCUUGCUUUUUUGGUCUGGUUUGUUCACAUGCUGCUCAAUUUUCAGGAUCAACAAAUACGAAUGCUGUAACUUACGACUCCAUGCCUGUUUCUCCUUACUCCCCAGGACCUAGCUCUCGGGGGUAGUUUGUGGUUUCAGUCAUUUUUCCUUUUAUCUUUUUUUUUUUUUUU
Long non-coding RNA from Leopardus geoffroyi (Geoffroy's cat), 3932 nucleotides. RefSeq lists it as uncharacterized. The transcript has 6 exons. The record is from RefSeq and is a predicted model, not a curated record. Lineage: Eukaryota; Metazoa; Chordata; Mammalia; Carnivora; Felidae.